Molecule: long non-coding RNA, 595 nt
Organism: Sus scrofa (pig)
Lineage: Eukaryota; Metazoa; Chordata; Mammalia; Artiodactyla; Suidae
Source: RefSeq, a predicted model, not a curated record
GUCAGUAUACACAUGAUUGGGCCAGCUGUAGCUUCUAGCAAGAAUUGAAGUUAGGAUUAUAUUCUCCGAAAGAGACUGGAAGACAGAGGUCUUAUCCUUUCUGCAGGUGUUCUAUUCAUCACUGCAUACUUAAGAUCCAAUGCUCUAUCUUAGACAGCUGUGCAGUUUAUAUACUGCCCAAAUAUGUCUGGAUAAAGAGAUUCCACAGGAAGUAAUUAAUUAAAAAUCAACAAUGGCAAUGGUAAGUGAUAUAUUUUCUUGGAAUAGGAAAAUUAGUUUUUAAAAUUCUUCAUAGCAGUAUAAGAUAUUUAAUAUCAAAUGUUAAUAUAUUCCUCUCUUUGGAAAAAUUAUUUCAGGAAGACUAAAAGAACUGGGAUGUAUAUCAGUAUCUUAUACUGACCUCAAUUUUAUUGAUAGCUACCUUCCAAACUUUGUGUGGUUGACAGAACUGACUUUUUUUCCAGUUUUUGUCUUAAACCAGCAUAAAUUCGAGUCCAUUAAGCAUCAGAAAGGUAAAUUGUUGUUCACUUGUAAGAAGCAAAGAGUCUUUCUUAAAAACAAUGUAUUUUAUUGAAGUUAGUUGAUUUAUAAUGUU